UUCCCCUUCCUAUCCUGCAGAGAGGUACCCGAGCCAGCACCUCCUAAGGGGCUUCAGCUCCUCCUUUAAAGAUCCCUAACAGGGUUUGCCAGAGAUCACUGGUUGAGGGCAGAAAGAUUUCAACUGAAUCCUCAUGCCAGGCCCUCCCUGAUCUCUCCGCAGUGCCCUCAGAUCCACACGGUGGCCUUGCCGUCUCUGCUGCCUGUACUGCCCUUCUCAGAGCCAACCCUGGGCUUAGUGGCGAGCUGUUCCUGAGCUCCCGACCUGCCCUGCUCUCCAACGGUACCCCCCGACGUGGCGCUACCGGUUCCGGAAGCUGGGCCGCCCGCCCUGGGUGGUCCCCGAGAGGUUGCAUUGAGCCCUGAACACGGCGGACUGUCGCGAUCCGCGGAAACCGCCGCCACCGCCGCCCCAUCACGCAGCGCCUGCAGUGCCAGGUUCGCCAGGUUCUGAUCGUGCGCUCGCGCGCGCUCAGCUGCACGCACUACCAGGCUGUAGUCCGGAGGGCAAGCCAGGCCCGCGGCCGCA
This 528-nucleotide long non-coding RNA is filed under the name Rattus norvegicus (Norway rat). RNAcentral's name for it is "long non-coding RNA NONRATT004337". The record is from RNAcentral. Lineage: Eukaryota; Metazoa; Chordata; Mammalia; Rodentia; Muridae.